UACGUAGGGUGCAAGCGUUAUCCGGAAUUACUUGGGCGUAAAGGGUGAGUAGGCGGCAAUGCAAGUCAUAUGUGAAAGCCCGGGUCUCAAGCCCGGGUGUGCAUAAGAAACUGUGUAGCUAGAGUACAGGAGAGGUAAGCGGAAUUCCUAGUGUAGCGGUGAAAUGCGUAGAUAUUAGGAGGAACACCAGUGGCGAAGGCGGCUUACUGGACUGAAACUGACGCUGAGUCACGAAAGCGUGGGGAGCAAA
RNAcentral lists this ribosomal RNA (250 nucleotides) under uncultured bacterium. RNAcentral describes it as "partial 16S ribosomal RNA". It matches the Rfam family "Bacterial small subunit ribosomal RNA", at positions 524 to 772 of the family's 1533-position model. The record is from RNAcentral.